AGUUUGAUCCUGGCUCAGGAUGAACGCUGGCGGCGUGCCUAAUACAUGCAAGUCGAACGGUGUAUAUGAGCAAUCGUAUACAUAGUGGCGAACGGGUGAGUAACGCGUUGGUGACCUGCCCUAAAGCGGGGGACAACAGCUCGAAAGGGCUGCUAAUACCCCAUACAGUUGUGAGAGAUUAGAAACUUGCAACGAAAGGAGUAAUCCACUUUAGGAGGGGCCUGCGUCCCAUCAGCUAGUUGGUAGGGUAACGGCCUACCAAGGCGUAGACGGGUAGGGGACCUGAGAGGGUGGCCCCCCACAAUGGAACUGAAACACGGUCCAUACACCUACGGGUGGCAGCAGUAGGGAAUAUUGCACCAUGGGCGAAAGCCUGAUGCAGCAACGCCGCGUGAGUGAUGAAGGCCUUCGGGUCGUAAAACUCUUUUCAAGGGAAAGAGGAAGGACGGUACCCUUGGAAUAAGCAUCGGCUAACUACGUGCCAGCAGCCGCGGUAACACGUAGGAUGCAAGCGUUAUUCGGAUUUACUGGGCGUAAAGCGCGUGUAGGCGGUUAGGAGAGUUGGAUGUGAAAGCUCCCGGCUUAACUGGGAGAGGUCGUUCAAAACUUCCUGACUAGAGUUUGGUAGAGGAAAAUGGAAUUCCGGGUGUAGUGGUGAAAUGCGUAGAUAUCCGGAGGAACACCAGUGGCGAAAGCGAUUUUCUGGACCGAUACUGACGCUCAGACGCGAAAGCUAGGGUAGCAAACGGGAUUAGAGACCCCGGUAGUCCUAGCUGUAAACGAUGUAGACUUGGC
Molecule: ribosomal RNA, 795 nt
Filed under: uncultured bacterium
Lineage: Bacteria
Description: bacterial SSU rRNA
Rfam family: Bacterial small subunit ribosomal RNA
Source: RNAcentral